RNAcentral lists this transfer RNA (73 nucleotides) under Clostridiales bacterium. RNAcentral describes it as "tRNA-Val". It matches the Rfam family "tRNA". Rfam says of the family: Transfer RNA (tRNA) molecules are approximately 80 nucleotides in length. Their secondary structure includes four short double-helical elements and three loops (D, anti-codon, and T loops). Further hydrogen bonds mediate the characteristic L-shaped molecular structure. tRNAs have two regions of fundamental functional importance: the anti-codon, which is responsible for specific mRNA codon recognition, and the 3' end, to which the tRNAs corresponding amino acid is attached (by aminoacyl-tRNA synthetases). tRNAs cope with the degeneracy of the genetic code in two manners: having more than one tRNA (with a specific anti-codon) for a particular amino acid; and 'wobble' base-pairing, i.e. permitting non-standard base-pairing at the 3rd anti-codon position. Lineage: Bacteria; Bacillati; Bacillota; Clostridia; Eubacteriales. The record is from RNAcentral.
GGGAGUUUAGCUCAGUUGGGAGAGCGCUUGCCUUACAAGCAAGAUGUCAUAGGUUCGAGUCCUAUAAUUCCCA